Molecule: long non-coding RNA, 288 nt
Organism: Solenopsis invicta (red fire ant)
Lineage: Eukaryota; Metazoa; Arthropoda; Insecta; Hymenoptera; Formicidae
Exons: 2
Source: RefSeq, a predicted model, not a curated record
AUUAUUAUUAUGAGGUUGGCUUAGAAAAAGUAUAAAAAUAAAUUAAUGAGAGAAGAAAAAAGAGUUUUGAAAUGGCACUAAUACAGAAAGGAGAAAGGAAUUUAAGAAGUUGAAGAAGUAAAUAUUUUUUAAAAUGUGAAAUGAUUAUAAAGUAUAGAAGAGGAAUAGAAUAAUACAAAAAGGAAGCCAGGAAAGAGGAAAGAUCGAAGAAGUGUAUAAUUGAAAUAAAAUUGAAAGGAGAAAGGAAUUGAAGGUUGGAGAAGGUAAAGAUUUUUUAAAUUAAAAAUG